UGGGGAAUUUUGGACAAUGGGCGAAAGCCUGAUCCAGCAAUGCCGCGUGUGUGAAGAAGGCCUUCGGGUUGUAAAGCACUUUUGUCCGGAAAGAAAUCCUUGGCUCUAAUACAGUCGGGGGAUGACGGUACCGGAAGAAUAAGCACCGGCUAACUACGUGCCAGCAGCCGCGGUAAUACGUAGGGUGCAAGCGUUAAUCGGAAUUACUGGGCGUAAAGCGUGCGCAGGCGGUUUGCUAAGACCGAUGUGAAAUCCCCGGGCUCAACCUGGGAACUGCAUUGGUGACUGGCAGGCUAGAGUAUGGCAGAGGGGGGUAGAAUUCCACGUGUAGCAGUGAAAUGCGUAGAGAUGUGGAGGAAUACCGAUGGCGAAGGCAGCCCCCUGGGCCAAAUACUGACGCUCAUGCACGAAAGGCGUGGGGAGCAAACAGGAUUAGAUACCCUGGUAGUCCACGCCCUAAACGAUGUCAACUAGUUGUUGGGGAUUCAUUUCCUUAGUAACGUAGCUAACGCGUGAAGUUGACCGCCUGGGGAGUACGGUCGCAAGAUUAAAACUCAAAGGAAUUGACGGGGU
RNAcentral lists this ribosomal RNA (573 nucleotides) under uncultured bacterium. RNAcentral's name for it is "partial 16S ribosomal RNA". It matches the Rfam family "Bacterial small subunit ribosomal RNA", at positions 355 to 919 of the family's 1533-position model. The record is from RNAcentral.